GUGGAUUAGAUACCCUAGUAGUCCACGCCGUAAACGAUGGAUACUAGCUGUUCGGAGCAAUCUGAGUGGCUAAGCGAAAGUGAUAAGUAUCCCACCUGGGGAGUACGCACGCAAGUGUGAAACUCAAAGGAAUUGACGGGGGCCCGCACAAGCGGUGGAGCAUGUGGUUUAAUUCGAUGAUACGCGAGGAACCUUACCAAGGCUUAAAUGGGAAACGACAGGUUUGGAAACAGACUUUUCUUCGGACGUUUUUCAAGGUGCUGCACGGUCGUCGACAACU
RNAcentral lists this ribosomal RNA (280 nucleotides) under uncultured bacterium. RNAcentral describes it as "partial 16S ribosomal RNA". It matches the Rfam family "Bacterial small subunit ribosomal RNA", at positions 773 to 1060 of the family's 1533-position model. The record is from RNAcentral.